This 2243-nucleotide ribosomal RNA is filed under the name Salmonella enterica. Its description in RNAcentral is "partial 23S ribosomal RNA". It matches the Rfam family "Bacterial large subunit ribosomal RNA", at positions 707 to 2925 of the family's 2925-position model. The record is from RNAcentral. Lineage: Bacteria; Pseudomonadati; Pseudomonadota; Gammaproteobacteria; Enterobacterales; Enterobacteriaceae.
GUAUAGACCCGAAACCCGGUGAUCUAGCCAUGGGCAGGUUGAAGGUUGGGUAACACUAACUGGAGGACCGAACCGACUAAUGUUGAAAAAUUAGCGGAUGACCUGUGGCUGGGGGUGAAAGGCCAAUCAAACCGGGAGAUAGCUGGUUCUCCCCGAAAGCUAUUUAGGUAGCGCCUCGUGAAUUCAUCUCCGGGGGUAGAGCACUGUUUCGGCUAGGGGGCCAUCCCGGCUUACCAACCCGAUGCAAACUGCGAAUACCGGAGAAUGUUAUCACGGGAGACACACGGCGGGUGCUAACGUCCGUCGUGAAGAGGGAAACAACCCAGACCGCCAGCUAAGGUCCCAAAGUCAUGGUUAAGUGGGAAACGAUGUGGGAAGGCCCAGACAGCCAGGAUGUUGGCUUAGAAGCAGCCAUCAUUUAAAGAAAGCGUAAUAGCUCACUGGUCGAGUCGGCCUGCGCGGAAGAUGUAACGGGGCUAAACCAUGCACCGAAGCUGCGGCAGCGACGCUGAUGCGUUGUUGGGUAGGGGAGCGUUCUGUAAGCCUGUGAAGGUGGCCUGUGAGGGUUGCUGGAGGUAUCAGAAGUGCGAAUGCUGACAUAAGUAACGAUAAAGCGGGUGAAAAGCCCGCUCGCCGGAAGACCAAGGGUUCCUGUCCAACGUUAAUCGGGGCAGGGUGAGUCGACCCCUAAGGCGAGGCCGAAAGGCGUAGUCGAUGGGAAACGGGUUAAUAUUCCCGUACUUGGUGUUACUGCGAAGGGGGGACGGAGAAGGCUAUGUUGGCCGGGCGACGGUUGUCCCGGUUUAAGCGUGUAGGUGUGUGUUCCAGGUAAAUCCGGUUCACUUUAACACUGAGGCGUGAUGACGAGGCACUACGGUGCUGAAGCAACAAAUGCCCUGCUUCCAGGAAAAGCCUCUAAGCAUCAGGUAACAUCAAAUCGUACCCCAAACCGACACAGGUGGUCAGGUAGAGAAUACCAAGGCGCUUGAGAGAACUCGGGUGAAGGAACUAGGCAAAAUGGUGCCGUAACUUCGGGAGAAGGCACGCUGACACGUAGGUGAAGUGAUUUACUCAUGGAGCUGAAGUCAGUCGAAGAUACCAGCUGGCUGCAACUGUUUAUUAAAAACACAGCACUGUGCAAACACGAAAGUGGACGUAUACGGUGUGACGCCUGCCCGGUGCCGGAAGGUUAAUUGAUGGGGUCAGCGCAAGCGAAGCUCCUGAUCGAAGCCCCGGUAAACGGCGGCCGUAACUAUAACGGUCCUAAGGUAGCGAAAUUCCUUGUCGGGUAAGUUCCGACCUGCACGAAUGGCGUAAUGAUGGCCAGGCUGUCUCCACCCGAGACUCAGUGAAAUUGAACUCGCUGUGAAGAUGCAGUGUACCCGCGGCAAGACGGAAAGACCCCGUGAACCUUUACUAUAGCUUGACACUGAACAUUGAGCCUUGAUGUGUAGGAUAGGUGGGAGGCUUUGAAGUGUGGACGCCAGUCUGCAUGGAGCCGGCCUUGAAAUACCACCCUUUAAUGUUUGAUGUUCUAACGUGGACCCGUGAUCCGGGUUGCGGACAGUGUCUGGUGGGUAGUUUGACUGGGGCGGUCUCCUCCUAAAGAGUAACGGAGGAGCACGAAGGUUGGCUAAUCCUGGUCGGACAUCAGGAGGUUAGUGCAAUGGCAUAAGCCAGCUUGACUGCGAGCGUGACGGCGCGAGCAGGUGCGAAAGCAGGUCAUAGUGAUCCGGUGGUUCUGAAUGGAAGGGCCAUCGCUCAACGGAUAAAAGGUACUCCGGGGAUAACAGGCUGAUACCGCCCAAGAGUUCAUAUCGACGGCGGUGUUUGGCACCUCGAUGUCGGCUCAUCACAUCCUGGGGCUGAAGUAGGUCCCAAGGGUAUGGCUGUUCGCCAUUUAAAGUGGUACGCGAGCUGGGUUUAGAACGUCGUGAGACAGUUCGGUCCCUAUCUGCCGUGGGCGCUGGAGAACUGAGGGGGGCUGCUCCUAGUACGAGAGGACCGGAGUGGACGCAUCACUGGUGUUCGGGUUGUCAUGCCAAUGGCACUGCCCGGUAGCUAAAUGCGGAAGAGAUAAGUGCUGAAAGCAUCUAAGCACGAAACUUGCCCCGAGAUGAGUUCUCCCUGAGACUUAGAGUCUCCUGAAGGAACGUUGAAGACGACGACGUUGAUAGGCCGGGUGUGUAAGCGCAGCGAUGCGUUGAGCUAACCGGUACUAAUGAACCGUGAGGCUUAACCUU